GGGCCAGUGGCGCAACGGAUAACGCGCCUGACUACGGAUCAAGAGAUUCCAGGUUUGAAUUCUAGCUGGCUCG
This 73-nucleotide transfer RNA is filed under the name Trichonephila inaurata madagascariensis. It matches the Rfam family "tRNA". Rfam says of the family: Transfer RNA (tRNA) molecules are approximately 80 nucleotides in length. Their secondary structure includes four short double-helical elements and three loops (D, anti-codon, and T loops). Lineage: Eukaryota; Metazoa; Arthropoda; Arachnida; Araneae; Nephilidae. The record is from Rfam by way of RNAcentral.